GGGUAAACCUGAGAAACCCGAAAGAUCGAAUGGGGGAGAUUCAUCGUCAGCGGAGCGUGGCUCACGUGCGGCGCGCGAUGUACGAGACGGGCGCUUAACGGCGCCUCCGUCGAUUGCACGCGGCCGCCGCGUUAUGUUCGGCUCCGUCGGCGUGCACUUCUCACCAAGUAGGACGUCGCGACCCGCUGGGUGUCGGUUUACGGGCCGAGAACGUUGACUCCUCCGCGCGUCUCAACGCGCGCGGUUGCAGACGCUCGGCUGUUGACCGACCGACUGCUCGGCGGUAUAGCAGAAGGUAUCGGGCCGCAUUACGAAUGCGUUCAGACCCGUCGACAAGCCCGGCCACCGCGGGGGGGAGGGGAAAUUUUUUUUUCCCUCCCCUUCCUUCACUCUGGGUGAGCGGACGUGCGCCGUCCCCGGGGUUGGUCAGCUGUUGGUCGACGGUGCUUCUCGAACUGGCCGACAAUUGAACGAUCGUACCUGUCGGCGACGCUAUUGCUUUGGGUACUUUCAGGACCCGUCUUGAAACACGGACCAAGGAGUCUAACAUGUGCGCGAGUCAUUGGGACGUCGAAACCCAAAGGCGCAUUGAAAGAAAAGGUCGACCCAGCGUCGAUUGAGGGAGGAUGGACGGCGUACCGGCGGACGGCAACGCUCCCGGUCGCUGUCCCGCACUCCAGGGGCGUCUCGUUGUCAACGCGACAUGAGGCGCACCAAGAGCGUACACGUUGGGACCCGAAAGAUGGUGAACUAUGCCUGGUCAGGACGAAGUCAGGGGAAACCCUGAUGGAGGUCCGUAGCGAUUCUGACGUGCAAAUCGAUCGUAGGAACUGGGUAUAGGGGCGAAAGACUAAUCGAACCAUCUAGUA
RNAcentral lists this ribosomal RNA (869 nucleotides) under Opisthacantha sp. OSUC 534630. Its description in RNAcentral is "partial 28S ribosomal RNA". The stretch from base 382 to 869 matches the Rfam family "Eukaryotic large subunit ribosomal RNA", at positions 1 to 949 of the family's 3401-position model. The record is from RNAcentral. Lineage: Eukaryota; Metazoa; Arthropoda; Insecta; Hymenoptera; Scelionidae.